ACUCAAAUGAAUUGACGGGGGCUCACACAAGCGGUGGAGGAUGUGGUUUAAUUCGAAGCAACGCGCAGAACCUUACCAGGUCUUGACAUACCGGGAUUAGUUUUGGGAAACCAGAAUGAUUCCUCGCAAGAGGGUAACCGGAACAGGUGCUGCAUGGCUGUCGUCAGCUCGUGCCGUGAGGUGUUAGGUUAAGUCCUUUAACGAGCGAAACCCCUACGAUUAGUUGCCAUCAGGUGAAGCUGGGCACUCUAGUCGGACUGCCGCGCAAGCUGGAGGAAGGUGGGGACGACGUCAAGUCAUCAUGGCCUUUAUGACCUGGGCCACACACGUCCUACAAUGGGUUAUACAAAGGGUCGCCAAACCGUAAGGUGGAGCCAAUCCCAGAAAGUAACCCUCAGUUCAGAUAGUGGGCUGCAAUUCGCCCACUUGAAGCUGGAAUCGCUAGUAAUCGCAGAUCAGCCACGCUGCGGUGAAUUUGUUCCUGAGCCUUGUACACACCGCCCGU
This 505-nucleotide ribosomal RNA is filed under the name uncultured bacterium. Its description in RNAcentral is "partial 16S ribosomal RNA". It matches the Rfam family "Bacterial small subunit ribosomal RNA", at positions 899 to 1397 of the family's 1533-position model. The record is from RNAcentral.